Molecule: small RNA, 76 nt
Filed under: Methylocapsa palsarum
Lineage: Bacteria; Pseudomonadati; Pseudomonadota; Alphaproteobacteria; Hyphomicrobiales; Beijerinckiaceae
Description: suhB
Source: RNAcentral
CUGCAUAGCCCUCUUUGGGCGUUUCCUCCCACUUGGGCCGCUUGCAGCAAUGCUGGCGGCCCCUUUUAUGGGACCC